CCGUCGUUUGCUGUUCCGCUAAACUUCAAACUUGGCAACACCGUUUGCACUUUGGCCCUAGCGUCUAAUAUCUUUUUUUCUGUUUUCAGUAGACUUUUUCUUUGUACAAACAUUUUCUCUGAUCCAACACCUCCUGCAGCUCUGGCCAACUCUGGGUCCUCCCAUACUCCUCCCCCGAGCCUGGAGCUGAGGUCAGAGAAGCCCGGGACAGCCACGAAGCCGGGGUCCUCGCGCCCCAACCACCACAGUUAAGGAUUCUGAUACGUUACCAAACCGCCACCCAGAAAGGAAUUGCAAUGUGAACUCCUACCAGAAAUCACAAAAAGGUAAAGGCAGCCUGAAAGCCAUACUCAAAUUACCUGCUACCAUCCAGGAUGCCAAGCUGACCAGAGUCAGAGUCUGGCUCCUCCCACCUAGAACUCACCCUUAUUUUCAGGCCGGCCUCCCUGCCUGCAGGGGUGACUGAAGUCCAGAGCUUUGCCACGGAGAGGAAACCUCCAAUGGUCUACCCGUGCACUGUGAAUCACACUUGCAAGGCGGAUGGAAAACUGAGCCCGGCAGGCAAGGGAAGCCUCCAGCAUGGCAGGGGGCAUGGCCAGGAGAUGUUCACUCCUCCAGGCUAUGGAGAUUUGGAAGGAAAGAUUCCAGAGACCCCUAAAUUAGGCCACGUAGAGCUUGCCAUGCAGGGGGCUGCAAGAACUAGCCAGCUGCCAUUGCCAACAAAGAACCCACCUGGACCCUGGAGCUCCAUGUCCUCUUUACCUAAAAUACAGUGAGUGCUUGACUUCUCCAGGAGUGCGAAUCGCCACUUCGUGUUUGUCUUCAAAGUCGUGCAGAUUGCUUUUGGAAACCUUGAAGCAGCGAUUUCUUCCUGUGCAGUUGAACCUGAACUUCCUAAAGAAGCUAAGAUUGGGCCCCUGGUGGUCUUGGCCAGUUCUUAGACAAUCAGGCUGUAGCCAGGUCCUUUGGGCAGAAUCACUAGCCAGCACAGGUCUGCGCUGCCCAAUGGGGAUGGAUUUCCUUUUGGACGUACCUCAUGGAAGCUGGUUUGUCUGGAGCGCUGACACUUGUGCUACCAUCUGGGUGGAGGGAGAGACCACAGGGAGGGCUGUGCCUGUGCCGGGCAGGGAGACGACCUCACAGCUGUUCACCAUGGAGCAUCCUAGGCCCUGCUAACCUGAAUGGAUGUUUCAUCAAGGCUGGCUGUCCCACAAGUGGGGGAUUCCUGUUGUAACGUGUGCUGGUGGAAGGGCCACUGUUCCUGGAGGAGAUGGUGGGAGAUGAUGGAUGGGAGGGGAGGGAUGUCUUAUUUCUGUCAGACUGGCUUGGAGCUGGCGGGCAGAGUCAGGCUGCUGUCCUCCACUCCAUCUCCUCGUCCUCGGGAUCUGUGGUGUUCCUCUGAGGAUUCUAAGAGGAGCAAUAAGAGAUGGAUGGCAGGCUGCUAAAACCAUACCCCAUGAGGUUAGCAGGCAGCCGGAGUUGUACCUGAUGGGCUGGGGGAGGUGCGCUGUUGUUGGUCCCAUCACCUGGGCUGCGUCUUCAGGUGCCAGGGUAGCUGUCCAGCUCAGAGUUUAGAAGAGCUCAGGAGAAGACAUAGGAAGCCAUUAUCUCAUCGAAUUUCCAGCCCAUUACGAAGUCCUGUGUGUAACCUUGAAGACAGGGUGUGCCCCCGACAUACUGCUUCAGUUCCUCACCUUGGUGACCCACAUUUAUCAAUGGGUCCAUCGCAGUGUUCUCCUCACUGAGACUGAGAAUGAACGAGUUGGUCUUUGAAUGUAUUCUUCUCACCAGAGCUACAUAGGACGGAUGCCAUGUCUCCUGCGUAGCACCUCUCUGGCAAUUCCCUGAACCUCUGGAGGUCAGACGGUGGGAACCCCACUUACCAGUGCAUGCAAGUCCCAGGCUCUGCACAGCUGCUUUAGGAGAAUUCCAGGCCGUCUCAGAAAGCAUCCAGCUUGUUGUAGAAGACACGUUUGCUGUUGAAGCCACAGUUUGCAAUCUUGAUGUUCACGCCAGCAUCCGAGGGUUUGUCUGUAAGGACAAUGAGCUUCUGGUGGCCACAGCAUGCACACUAGACACUAGUGUUGGAAUUUUCAACCGGCCUCUGUGUUCUCUCCCACUGGCACGAGGCACUAGGUAUCCAAAUACCACUCACCCAUCAGCGGGCUUCAUAACAAGGCCUUUCUAGUGUCUGUCACUUCAAACAUUCCAUUCUGUUGGGAUUAUUGGAGCCUUCGUGCAGCCUUACACCACAGAGUGUUCUCUGGGCUCGUUCCUGGCCGUGAGGAGGCACCGCGUUGACUUUACCUCAGCUGGGUUAUCUUUGCCGAGGAUUUUCAGAAGCAUGGCUGCCUGUGUGGAUCUCUCUUCAGCAGAUAUGGCUGAGGGGCCUUGCAGCUUGUCGGAUUUCCUGCGGGGCUCAGAGUCAAGGCCCCCCAGCGUCAGCUUAAAUUUGAGAAAAGUAUGCAUCUGUUUCAAGCCACCUCAGGGGAAAACCCGAAGUUCACCCGGUGAAUUGACCUUUACAGUGGGAAUAAAAUACAAUGCUGGAUGAAACGUAAAUUACAAAAUAGUUUUCAAAGGAAAAAUUGAUUAAGAGAAAAAUUUAAAAGAAUAAAACUAGGAAGAGCACUAAGAGAGCCAAUAAACUAGUCCCAGCCAGAGACUCACAAGUGCUUGGGACUGUAAAAUGAUAGCUUCAUCCAGGGUCACAGGAAGAGGGACCCUAAUCAAUAGUGGAGUUCUCAAAUAGCCCCUUUCUCCUAAGAAAAUUGUUCAGGGUCCCAAAGAGCUUUUGUUUUUUAUGUGGGUUCUGACUACCAAUGUUUAUCUUAUUAGAAGUGACAACCCCAGAGCGGCCACACUUAAAACACUGGGUUUCAAAGCCACCCCACGGUUUAACUAGCCCUGCGACAAAGUGACACAGUAAAGUUACUUUAGUAUCAGACUAAGCACGGAGGGGGUGAUCGCAGUCUGCCCGGUUCCUUUAGAGUAGACUCUUUCUUUCCCAGAGCUUUAGAAGCUCCUCGUUCAGUCUCAGCAUCUUGAAAUGAAGCUAGGUACAAAGGAGAAGGCCCGCAGCCCCAGCUACUCAGAGGCUGAGGCAGGAGGAUCCCUUGAGACCCGGAGCCCAUGGCUAGCCUGGGCAACAUCGUAAGACUCGGUGUCUGAGAAAACAGUCAGUAGAAACUGCAUCUGUGAAUUGAGAAAACACAUCACCGUUUUCUUUUUUUGACUCAACAAUGUGUUUUGUUCCAAGAGUCUCUCACCCAGCUCAGCGUGGGAUGGUGCAUCCAAGCACUGGACUCAUCACCUUGGCUACUUCCACAAACAUUUUUAUUGAAGCAUAAUACUGACACAGAUAAGUGCCAACUGUCAGUACAAAGUUCUAUGACUAUUCAUAAAUGGGACACACCUAUUUAACCAGCAUUUGGAUCAAGUGUGACACUACAAUAUGGCGUCCUGAGAUCUCCUUUUCCAGUCAGUGGGUUCUCUCUUCUCACAGCAUUGGUUAGUUUAGCUUGUUUUCAUCAUUAGACAUGUAGAAUCACAAAUUGAA
Molecule: non-coding RNA, 3559 nt
Organism: Peromyscus maniculatus bairdii (prairie deer mouse)
Lineage: Eukaryota; Metazoa; Chordata; Mammalia; Rodentia; Cricetidae
Source: RefSeq, a predicted model, not a curated record